CCUACGGGUGGCAGCAGUGAGGAAUAUUGGUCAAUGGUCGGGAGACUGAACCAGCCACGCCGCGUGAGGGAUGAAGGUACAGAGUAUCGUAAACCUCUUUUGUCAGGGAACAAAGGCGGGGACGUGUCCCCGGAUGAGUGUACCUGAAGAAAAAGCAUCGGCUAACUCCGUGCCAGCAGCCGCGGUAAUCGGGAGGAUGCGAGCGUUAUCCGGAUUUAGUGGGUUUAAAGGGUGCGCGGGCGGUCUGUUAAGUCAGUGUGAACAGCCCGGGGCUCAACCCCGGCCCGCCGUUGAAACUGGCAGUCUCGAGUGGGAGAGAAGUAUGCGGAAUGCGCGGUGUAGCGGUGAAAUGCAUAGAUAUCGCGCAGAACUCCGAUUGCGAAGGCAGCAUGCCGGCUCCACACUGACGCUGAGGCACGAAAGCGUGGGUAUCGAACAGGAUUAGAUACCCGAGUAGUC
This 459-nucleotide ribosomal RNA is filed under the name uncultured bacterium. RNAcentral describes it as "partial 16S ribosomal RNA". It matches the Rfam family "Bacterial small subunit ribosomal RNA", at positions 338 to 795 of the family's 1533-position model. The record is from RNAcentral.